Molecule: RNA transcript, 2226 nt
Organism: Phalaenopsis equestris
Lineage: Eukaryota; Viridiplantae; Streptophyta; Magnoliopsida; Asparagales; Orchidaceae
Exons: 2
Source: RefSeq, a predicted model, not a curated record
UGGAAACUGUGAUUACUGUAUCAAUCUAUAUCGAUUAAAUUCAUUUUAUAAUGAUACACAGAGUAUUCUUUGUUGGGUUUUGGAUGGGGAUUUGAUGACUUUUUUUUUUUAAUCACAAUAAAUUUUAAUUUCUUCUUAAUUUUGACGUUCCAAUACCAAUACUAGUUUUCUUGCUUUAUGGUUGAGAAUAAUUUCGUGGUAGAACAAUUUAGUUAGGGUUUAUCUUUCCGUUUAUGAUGAGAGGUCUAACACCGAUGUUGAGUGAAUUUGAUUAAAAAAGAGGAGAUGAACGCCCAAACUUCAAAGAAUUUAUCAAAACGGCUCUCAAGAGAUUAUGAAGAAGGUGAGUCGAGUGAUCUCUUAAAAGAAGAAGAAGAAGAAAACGGAUGGUUCCAUGACUGUAUCAGAUGAUGAUCAAGAUGAGAACUCCGGCUCUUCUUGGACCAAGCCAUAUAUUCCUGAUGAAGUAUUGAUUCAUCUUUGCAUUGAUCAUCAACGAAUUGACGAUUUGAUUUACAGAAGCCCAUCAAGAUCCCCCCUACUCUGCAAGCCUUGAUCUUGCAGAGAUCUUCUGAUCCAAUAUCCCUUUUGUCUCAAAGGAGACCCUGCAAAAUGCGGGGAUCCCAACUACCAGCUCACUUGCUGCAGCAACAGAAUAUUGAUGGAGUUCCUGUCAGAUCAGUUCUCAGUAAACAAAAUCAAUUAUGCAGACAGUAUGAUGGAUGCUAUUGAGGUUGGCCUGCUAAGAAACAGGUUGCAGUGUUCCCAUCAAAUCAUUGCCUGCAACUUCUGUUUUUAUUUCCAAAUUCUAUCAGUUAAGACACUGGUAUUGGAUUUGCUUAAUGAUUUGUUCAAAAAAGCUAACUACAAAGGAGCAUUGGUUAAUUCCUUGUUUGAGUCGGAGAGAUUCAUAUGUUUAUAGUGUUUCUGGUUAUUUAGUAUCAGAUCUGGCAAUUUCUUGCAGCCUUCUGUGUAUGAUGCUUGCAACUGAUGUAAACUCAAAUCCUUUUGAUGCCAUUCAUGGCGGAUUUUCUCUGUCAUGGUCUACUCAUGCCCUCACCACAUCCAUGCUGAUAAUAAGGUGUCUUCGAGAUUCAUUGAAAUAAGAAAAGAAUGGAUUAAAAUUCCUCUUUUUUAAUUUGAUUAGCUGUUCUUCAUUGAAUAUUUCUGAUGGCUGCAGUACCGAACAUAUUUCAGCAUGUUUCAUGACGACUUUAGAAGAAGCAAUUUCCAAUCCAUGAUUCCAGCAGUUUUUAUGGCUGAGGUGCACUUUCCAGCCUGCUUUGAAGAUUAUACUUUGGAUCGCCUGUUUAGUUUGAAUUUUCCACCCGUCGAUCGCCGUUAUAGUCAUCAUGGAGAUUAUUCAGCUUGUGAUCUGUGAGAAAAAUUGAAAUUUGAUUGUUUGUAAACAAAAGAAGGAGCUGAUUUUGUUUCUGUUUCAGUUUACAGUGUUGCAUAUCAUAGCAAGAUUGGUUUUUGCUUCAUUAUCUUUGUUCUUCUUCCUUGCUCAUAAAUUCCGGACAAUAUGUUCAUCGGAAGACGCAGUGGAGAAGUUUCUGCUAGCUCUGCAAAAUCUCAAUCGUACAAGAUACUCUUAUACUGAUAUUAUGGCCAUUACCGGACACUUUAAGGAGCAGUUGGGACGGCUCCAUGUACAUAUGGGAGCUCCCUGGCAGCCAUUUUGUUGCAGUGAAUCCAAGUGACGAUUUCGCAAGUUGGAAGAAUUCACCACCUGAAUGUUCUUUGUCUCAGCGGAUUAUGCUCCGAAGACUCCAAAAGAGCUCUCAUCCCAACAAAUUGCUUCGACAUUAAGCCUCAAAACAUCCUUUUGGAUCGAAGCUUCGUCCACAAAGUCUCACAUUUCAGGCUCGCGGGACCGUACCCUAAGGAUUACAACAUAGUUUGUGUCAGCGCUGCCAGUGGAACAAUCGGAUACAUUGCUCCAGAGCUAGUCUCCCGCAACUUUGGAGUCAUAUCUCAUAAAUCUGAUUGUGUACCGCUUCAGAAUGAUGUUAAUGGAGAGGGCGGCCGUUCUACCUGAAAUCCAUAAUGUACAACCUACAUUGUAGCUUAUUAUUCUAUUCCUUAAUCCUUGGGCGGGCACAAUGACUCUGAUGUAUGCGUAAGAAGCAGAUGGAAGAAGAGGGAGGAUCAACUCUAGCUCUCUUUUACUCUCUUUUUUCUGCUAAAGAAUUCCCAAGCUUCUUCUCAGAGUUCAAAUUACAU